This 460-nucleotide ribosomal RNA is filed under the name uncultured bacterium. Its description in RNAcentral is "partial 16S ribosomal RNA". It matches the Rfam family "Bacterial small subunit ribosomal RNA", at positions 338 to 795 of the family's 1533-position model. The record is from RNAcentral.
CCUACGGGAGGCAGCAGUGAGGAAUAUUGGUCAAUGGGCGGGAGCCUGAACCAGCCAAGUCGCGUGAGGGAUGACGGCCCUAUGGGUUGUAAACCGCUUUUGUCGGGGAAUAAAGUGCCUCACGUGUGCGGCUUUGAGUGUACCCGGUGAAAAAGCAUCGGCUAACUCCGUGCCAGCAGCCGCGGUAAUACGGAGGGUCCGAGCGUUAUCCGGAUUUAUUGGGUUUAAAGGGAGCGUAGGCCGAAUGUUAAGCGUGCUGUGAAAUUUGCGGGCUCAACCCGGGUCGUGCAGUGCAAACUGGCUGGCUUGAGUCGGCGGAAAGUACGCGGAAUGCGUGGUGUAGCGGUGAAAUGCAUAGAUAUGACGAAGAACUCCGAUUGCGAAGGCAGCGUGCUGGAGCGGAACUGACGCUGAAGCACGAAAGCGUGGGUAUCGAACAGGAUUAGAUACCCUAGUAGUC